GACGAACGCGGGCGGCGUGCCUAAUACAUGCAAGUAGAACGCUGAAGGAGGAGCUUGCUCUUCUGGAUGAGUUGCGAACGGGUGAGUAACGCGUAGGUAACCUGCCUGGUAGCGGGGGAUAACUAUUGGAAACGAUAGCUAAUACCGCAUAAGAGUAGAUGUUGCAUGACAUUUGCUUAAAAGGUGCAAUUGCAUCACUACCAGAUGGACCUGCGUUGUAUUAGCUAGUUGGUGAGGUAACGGCUCACCAAGGCGACGAUACAUAGCCGACCUGAGAGGGUGAUCGGCCACACUGGGACUGAGACACGGCCCAGACUCCUACGGGAGGCAGCAGUAGGGAAUCUUCGGCAAUGGACGGAAGUCUGACCGAGCAACGCCGCGUGAGUGAAGAAGGUUUUCGGAUCGUAAAGCUCUGUUGUAAGAGAAGAACGAGUGUGAGAGUGGAAAGUUCACACUGUGACGGUAUCUUACCAGAAAGGGACGGCUAACUACGUGCCAGCAGCCGCGGUAAUACGUAGGUCCCGAGCGUUGUCCGGAUUUAUUGGGCGUAAAGCGAGCGCAGGCGGUUAGAUAAGUCUGAAGUUAAAGGCUGUGGCUUAACCAUAGUACGCUUUGGAAACUGUUUAACUUGAGUGCAAGAGGGGAGAGUGGAAUUCCAUGUGUAGCGGUGAAAUGCGUAGAUAUAUGGAGGAACACCGGUGGCGAAAGCGGCUCUCUGGCUUGUAACUGACGCUGAGGCUCGAAAGCGUGGGGAGCAAACAGG
RNAcentral lists this ribosomal RNA (763 nucleotides) under uncultured Streptococcus sp. RNAcentral's name for it is "bacterial SSU rRNA". It matches the Rfam family "Bacterial small subunit ribosomal RNA", at positions 28 to 776 of the family's 1533-position model. Lineage: Bacteria; Bacillati; Bacillota; Bacilli; Lactobacillales; Streptococcaceae. The record is from RNAcentral.